GCCCGCCCGCCCGCCUGCGACUCGGCGCGCCAUUCCUCCAACGCUGAGGGCGGGGGGUGACGGGUGGCUAGGUAGAGGGCGCCCGGUGAGGCGGGAAGAGAGGCUCGGCGCCCGAGACCAGAUCUAACUCUCUGGGCAUGGGAUAGAGGAGGCCUGGGCUAAGACUUCAAGUUCCAGAGGCUGCACCACAAUAAAUAAGGGUAUUCACUUGGGGAAGAGGAGGCAAAACCAGUAAAUCUAAAUGAUGGAGGCCUCAACCGAGGUGAGAGGGAAAGUGACAGAGCUUCAACUUGGGAGGCCCUUCUAGCCUCCUUCCCUGCAUGGCUAACUUCUAUUUCUCACAAGGUACAGCUCCUCUAGAAAGCCUUCCCCGAUCCCUGGAGGUCCUGCCGCUGCCGUGUUACUCCAUCAGGAUACUUCCUAUAUGGAGUUGUAAUGGCCUGUCUUACUUUCCCUGGGAAGGAAAAGAAAUGCCAAGACUCAACUCACACAGAGCCCCAGGAAUCUCCCUAUUCAGGAAGUUUUAAGGCAAGUGAAGAGCCAAGGGAUGACUGAACAUUGGAAGGAAAUGAUCUGGCUACCACCAUCUUCCCAACAUGCUACACAUAGUGACUCAGGACUUGAUGAAUUCUGUAUUAAGACAUGUAUGUAUUUUGCUAAGAAUUGAAAAAUAGCAUGUAUAAUGAACAGAGCAUGUUUUUAUAAUAUUGCAUAAAUAUUUUGAUCUUCAUAUAUAUUCUUCAACUAUGUCAUUCAAAUUAAAUGAUAUACAACAGAUUAUUGUUAAUAACUAUGAACAUUUAUUAAGCACCAAGAGUACACUGCAAUGGUUGCUAUAUAAAAACGUAAUUAUUGAUAUAGUUCCCUGCCAUUGAGCUUACAAUCUAAAAUGAAAUACAGAAUGCUUAUAAGCCUAUCUCAAAAUUUCCUUAUCUGAGAAAUGGUUAUUUUGGCAAAUGGAUGAGGCAAAAUGACCUAUUAUUUCAGGUACAAUGUUAAUAAGGCUUUGAACAUUAUCCAUAGAAUAUUUUACUCAUAUUACAUUAGGCUUGCUAAGAAAAAAGAGCACACUGAAACUUGGCAAGAGCAAUGAAUUAUUUCAGAUUGCCUUGUAGGACUUUGUUUUAAACAAAGAGCUGCUUAUUGGCCUGAGUUUUUCAGCAGCCAAGGAAAGUCCAAUGUAAAAUAUGAACUGGAUCAAGUUUAUCUUCUAUUUCACUUAAAACUUCAAUUUCUUCCUCCUUUCCCAUGCAUAAGGGCUCCAAUGAUACCCCUAUCAAGGAAGAAAACACUGUAUCUAGAUACUAUAAAGUACUAGAGGCCUAAUAAGUUGAACUUUGGGAAAUAUUGUUCAUUCAUAUUUUAAAGGAGGACUAAGCGAAGACAGCAGUGGGCCUCUGGCUAUCGGAGGCACCUGGCUAUGUAUGACUUGUAAACAAAGGCAAGAGAGUUCAGUCCACACAUCUUCAGAGUGAUCAAGAAUAUACAUAAAGGAGGGCUGGAAAUGGAAUUCAAUGUUACAGCACUUGACUAGCAUAUGCAAAGCACUGGAUUCAAUCCCUAGUACCAUAAACACACAUACAAAAGCUUGCUUUUCUGAUCCAUAUUUCUAAUGUAGGGGUAUAUACAAGACCCUAUAGUAUAAACUGUCCUAUUUUGCCUAUAUGCAUAGUAUAAUAUUUAAUAAAUACUUUCAAGGUUUUCAUUGCUGGUCAUUAUUAGCUGACAAAGGCACACCAAUGGGAUUUUGAUUCUAGUCAAAUGCAAAGAUUGUUUUAAACUACUGAGCACAUACAAUCUUACAAUGAUAUACUGAUUAUUUAUUUUUGAUCAUUUAUAAUUCUUUUAUCUCUAAAAGAACACUAAAAAAUAAAUUGGUUAAAAGUUAUCAAAAACAGAAAUAGAAUUUAUUCUAUAAUAUGCAUGAUCAAAAUUUACUUCAUGCAUAACAACAUUUUAAUGGCAGAGUGGUAGCAUCCUGAGAUAUUCUUUAUGGCAAAGCAAUAUGUCAGCAAUUUUUUGAAAAACCGGUAAUUUCCUUCUAGAGGUCUAUCUUGGCAACUUUCCUUUUAAAUAAUACAGCAGCAGUAACAUUUUUAAAAUGUUCAUAAAGCUUUAUAUAACAAGUUUAUCCAAAAAGAAAGGACCAGAAAUUUCAGGAUAAUUUUUUUAAAUAAAAUAGAAUAAUUCACUAAUUUUGACCUAAAAGUGAUAUUAAAACAUCCCUCUUGCAGUUUAAGAGUACUAUUUUAUAAUUUAUACCUCCUACUUACAGUAGAUAAAUCCAAUUGAUCUUGAGAUUUGAGAUGGAAAACCUGAACAUAAACAUCAUUCUUGUCUAAUAAGAUGACGGGAAUUGAUAUCUAUAGGCUUUCUCCAAAAUUGAGGGAAAAAACUUUUUAAGUUAACUGUGAUAAGUGAAUUUGAGUUUACCAAUCUCAGACAAUGCACUUAUUUUUAGCUUUUAGUUGGUAUUAUAUGAAAUAGCUAUAAUUCCUGAUUAAAGUGUAUUUUUCUAAGGCAAAGCAAGUUUGAUUAUGUACGAAGCGUAUGUAUUAGCAUGAUUAUAAAGGAAAUAUAUGACCAAUACAUACACAUCCUUUUUUUUUCUCCUUCUUUUUUUGCAGUGGUGGGGACUUAAUCCAAGGCCUCAUGCAUGCAAGGCAAGUGCUCUCCCGCUGAGCUGCAUCCCCAAUCCCACAUUCACUUUUCUUAAGUGAUACAUUCCAAGCUACAUAAAUUUAAUUUCAUAUCCUAUUUGAAGAAUACGUGUUUUGACAUUAAGCUUAGAAGCAUAAUUGAUGUAACGCGUUAAAAAAACUUUAUUUUUAAUAUUAUAAAGUAUGUUGUAUUUUCAGA
Non-coding RNA from Ictidomys tridecemlineatus (thirteen-lined ground squirrel), 2859 nucleotides. The record is from RefSeq and is a predicted model, not a curated record. NCBI's taxonomy places the organism in Eukaryota, Metazoa, Chordata, Mammalia, Rodentia, Sciuridae.